CAGUUCGGAUCGUAGUCUGCAACCCGGCUACAUGAAGCUGGAAUCGCUAGUAAUCGCGGAUCAGAAUGCCGCGGUGAAUACGUUCCCGGGUCUUGUACACACCGCCCGUCACACCAUGGGAGUCGGAAAUGCCCGAAGUCUGUGACCCAACCUCAGGGAGGGAGCAGCCGAAGGCAGGCCGGAUGACUGGGGUGAAGUCGUAACAAGGUAUC
RNAcentral lists this ribosomal RNA (212 nucleotides) under uncultured bacterium. RNAcentral describes it as "partial 16S ribosomal RNA". It matches the Rfam family "Bacterial small subunit ribosomal RNA", at positions 1289 to 1500 of the family's 1533-position model. The record is from RNAcentral.